Molecule: ribosomal RNA, 501 nt
Filed under: Aeromonas sp. R2_32
Lineage: Bacteria; Pseudomonadati; Pseudomonadota; Gammaproteobacteria; Aeromonadales; Aeromonadaceae
Description: bacterial SSU rRNA
Rfam family: Bacterial small subunit ribosomal RNA
Source: RNAcentral
UGAUCCUGGCUCAGAUUGAACGCUGGCGGCAGGCCUAACACAUGCAAGUCGAGCGGCAGCGGGAAAGUAGCUUGCUACUUUUGCCGGCGAGCGGCGGACGGGUGAGUAAUGCCUGGGAAAUUGCCCAGUCGAGGGGGAUAACAGUUGGAAACGACUGCUAAUACCGCAUACGCCCUACGGGGGAAAGCAGGGGACCUUCGGGCCUUGCGCGAUUGGAUAUGCCCAGGUGGGAUUAGCUUGUUGGUGAGGUAAUGGCUCACCAAGGCGACGAUCCCUAGCUGGUCUGAGAGGAUGAUCAGCCACACUGGAACUGAGACACGGUCCAGACUCCUACGGGAGGCAGCAGUGGGGAAUAUUGCACAAUGGGGGAAACCCUGAUGCAGCCAUGCCGCGUGUGUGAAGAAGGCCUUCGGGUUGUAAAGCACUUUCAGCGAGGAGGAAAGGUUGGUAGCUAAUAACUGCCAACUGUGACGUUACUCGCAGAAGAAGCACCGGCUAACU